This 377-nucleotide ribosomal RNA is filed under the name uncultured bacterium. RNAcentral's name for it is "bacterial SSU rRNA". It matches the Rfam family "Bacterial small subunit ribosomal RNA", at positions 523 to 898 of the family's 1533-position model. The record is from RNAcentral.
AUACGUAGGUGGCGAGCGUUGUCCGGAAUUAUUGGGCGUAAAGGAUGCGUAGGUGGAUAUUUAAGUGGGAUGUGAAAUCCCCGGGCUCAACCCGGGAACUGCAUUCCAUACUGGAUAUCUAGAGUGCAGGAGAGGAAAGCGGAAUUCCUAGUGUAGCGGUGAAAUGCGUAGAUAUUAGGAGGAACACCAGUGGCGAAGGCGGCUUUCUGGACUGUAACUGACACUGAGGCAUGAAAGCGUGGGUAGCAAACAGGAUUAGAUACCCUGGUAGUCCACGCCGUAAACGAUGGGUACUAGGUGUAGGAGGUAUCGACCCCUUCUGUGCCGUCGUUAACACAAUAAGUACCCCGCCUGGGGAGUACGGUCGCAAGACUAAA